RNAcentral lists this ribosomal RNA (474 nucleotides) under Triticum aestivum (bread wheat). Its description in RNAcentral is "partial small subunit ribosomal RNA". The record is from RNAcentral. Lineage: Eukaryota; Viridiplantae; Streptophyta; Magnoliopsida; Poales; Poaceae.
GAUGGUAAUGUUACUGUCUACAAAGCUCGACUUGUUACAAAAGGUUUUCGACAAGUUCAAGGAGUUGACUACGAUGAGACUUUCUCACCUGUAGCGAUGCUUAAGUCUGUCCGAAUCAUGUUCGCAAUUGCCGCAUUUUAUGAUUAUGAAAUAUGGCAAAUCGAUGUCAAAACUGCAUUCCUGAAUGGAUUUCUAGAAGAAGAGUUGUAUAUGAUGCAACCAGAAGGUUUUGUCGAUCCAAAAGGUGCUAACAAAGUGUGCAAGCUCCAGCGAUCCAUUUAUGGACUGGUGCAAGCCUCUCGGAGUUGGAAUAAACAUUUUGAUAGUGUGAUCAAAGCAUAUGGUUUUAUACAGACUUUGGGAGAAGCCUGUAUUUACAAGAAAGUGAGUGGGAGCUCUGUAGCAUUUCUAAUAUUAUACGUAGAUGACAUAUUGUUGAUUGGAAAUGAUAUAGAAUUUCUGGAUAGCAUAAAA